UACGGAGGAUGCAAGCGUUAUCCGGAAUGAUUGGGCGUAAAGCGUCCGCAGGUGGCAAUGUAAGUCUGCUGUCAAAGCGUCUGGCUCAACCAGAUAAAGGCAGUGGAAACUACAUAGCUAGAGUAAGGUAGGGGUAGAGGGAAUUCCUGGUGUAGCGGUGAAAUGCGUAGAGAUCAGGAAGAACACCGGUGGCGAAAAGCGCUCUGCUGGACCUUAACUGACACUGAGGGACGAAAGCUAGGGAGCGAAUGGG
RNAcentral lists this ribosomal RNA (253 nucleotides) under uncultured bacterium. Its description in RNAcentral is "partial 16S ribosomal RNA". It matches the Rfam family "Bacterial small subunit ribosomal RNA", at positions 524 to 776 of the family's 1533-position model. The record is from RNAcentral.